GAGAGAUUAGGCAGCAUUUGCACAUUCAGAGAGGAUUAAGGCAUGAAACUCCCUAGGAGCAGAAGACAACCCUUUGGUUUCUCUUCCCAGAGAGCGGGCUGGAGGAUCUCCUGGCUGAAGUGACUCAUCGCAGGGGUAGCUGAGCUGCUGCACAGCAUGAUGGGGAGAUGCUUCCUGCUAACCCAACCACAGCCGUCAGGAUCCUUGCUCCAUCUGACUGUGGUUUCUCUGUGCUCCCAUGGGAUGUCCUGAGUGGGUCAGACCUGGACCUGGAGGCAUGGCAGUGCCACGCUGUCCUUCAGACCAUGCAGAGAGCAACCUCCUCUUGCUCUGGUGGACCAACCCUGCAGACCUGCGGCAGACGGAGAGUGGCCAGGAUGUCCCAGGAUGAUGGUCUGAUGUUUGUGCGAGAUGCUGAGCUGCACUGAAAGGAGGCUCAGAUCUGCUGAGGAUGCCUUCGCUGGGGAUAUUUUCUACCUAAUCCAACACAAAGCUGCUCAGAAAUGGUGGAGGUGAGGAGAGGGGAACCAGGAGGGGAGAUGGACAGAGUGGUCAGGACAUGGCUCAGAGAACACCCUAUAUUGCUCGUUGAAACAUCUAUUCUCCACGUUUCCACUUGAAUUUCUCCAAGAUAAGUCUCCUGUUCCAAACUGAAGAUGUGAAUAUUUCUGACCAGCUUUUGCGCGUCAACUGGGCUUAAAAAAAAAAACCCAAGAAAACAAGACUAAAGCCUUGAAGAAAACAAAAAAAAGCCUUCCUUGAACUCCAUGGCUGGUGCUUGCAUUAGCAUAGGCAAUGUCUUCUGACAUCCGGGUGGCAGGCUGGAGCAUCUGUGCCGGAGGGCUUGGGGGUGUUGGUGGAGGAGGGAAGGAGGA
This is a long non-coding RNA of Cuculus canorus (common cuckoo), 875 nucleotides long. RefSeq lists it as uncharacterized. The record is from RefSeq and is a predicted model, not a curated record. The transcript has 4 exons. NCBI's taxonomy places the organism in Eukaryota, Metazoa, Chordata, Aves, Cuculiformes, Cuculidae.